Molecule: non-coding RNA, 376 nt
Organism: Paramuricea clavata
Lineage: Eukaryota; Metazoa; Cnidaria; Anthozoa; Malacalcyonacea; Plexauridae
Source: the annotation of a GenBank genome assembly
GAUUUGGCACUAUCUAUAUUUAUAGUUAUUUACAACAAUGUGGCGCCAGGGAAUUCGCCACAGUUUCCCCAAUUAUGGCGAACCCGGCGCAGUAUAAUAUUGUUUUAAUCCUGAUUUGAAAGCAAACAAUCCGAUAUCUCUGCAUGUUACGGAGGUCACUACUUAAAAUGUUCCACGUAAAAUGUAAUUGUUUCUCAAAGGGUAUUACAAAUUAAAUUUAACCAAGUUUUCAUUUAUAUAUAACUGGAUUUUGCUACAUUGUCAUCAAUAUAAGUGUAAAUGUUAAUGAUUUUAUAUCUGAGUAGAAUCAAGCCCACGUGAUCGUGACUAUCGUGUGUCUCUGCCAUUUUAAUAAAUAAUAAUACAUAAACCCAGA